This 485-nucleotide ribosomal RNA is filed under the name uncultured bacterium. Its description in RNAcentral is "partial 16S ribosomal RNA". It matches the Rfam family "Bacterial small subunit ribosomal RNA", at positions 29 to 523 of the family's 1533-position model. The record is from RNAcentral.
AGUGAACGCUGGCGGCGUGCUUAACACAUGCAAGUCGAACGAGAACGGAAUAUAGCUUGCUAUAUUUGUCAGCUAAGUGGCGCACGGGUGAGUAAUGUAUAGAUAACCUGCCCUUAAGAAAGGAAUAACAGUUGGAAACGACUGCUAAUGCCCUAUAUGCCUUUAAUACAUAAGUAUGCAAGGGAAACGCUUUAGUGCUUAAGGAUGGGUCUGUAUGGUAUCAGCUUGUUGGUGAGGUAAUGGCUCACCAAGGCUAUGACGCCUAACUGGUUUGAGAGGAUGAUCAGUCACACUAGAACUGAGACACGGGCCAGACUCCUACGGGAGGCAGCAGUGGGGAAUAUUGCACAAUGGACGAAAGUCUGAUGCAGCAACGCCGCGUGGAGGAUGACACAUUUCGGUGCGUAAACUCCUUUUAUAUAGGAAGAUAAUGACGGUACUAUAUGAAUAAGCACCGGCUAACUCCGUGCCAGCAGCCACCGUAA